Molecule: ribosomal RNA, 427 nt
Filed under: uncultured Acidobacterium sp.
Lineage: Bacteria; Pseudomonadati; Acidobacteriota; Terriglobia; Terriglobales; Acidobacteriaceae
Description: bacterial SSU rRNA
Rfam family: Bacterial small subunit ribosomal RNA
Source: RNAcentral
AACGCGAAGAACCUUACCUGGGCUCGAAAUGGAGUGGACCGGAGUGGAAACAUUCCUUCCCCGCAAGGGGCUGCUCUAUAGGUGCUGCAUGGCUGUCGUCAGCUCGUGUCGUGAGAUGUUGGGUUAAGUCCCGCAACGAGCGCAACCCUUAUUACCAGUUGCCAUCAUUAAGUUGGGCACUCAGGUGAGACCGCCUCGGAUAACGGGGAGGAAGGCGGGGAUGACGUCAAGUCCUCAUGGCCUUUAUGUCCAGGGCUACACACGUGCUACAAUGGCCGGUACAAACCGUCGCAAACCCGUGAGGGGGAGCUAAUCGGAAAAAGCCGGCCUCAGUUCGGAUUGUAGUCUGCAACUCGACUACAUGAAGCUGGAAUCGCUAGUAAUCGCGGAUCAGAACGCCGCGGUGAAUACGUUCCCGGGCCUUGUA